CUAAAACGUCCCUGAGUGGAAUCCCACUGUGGAUCAUCAUCCUCAGCAUUCUCAUAGGGCUGCUCCUGCUAGCACUGGUCAUCUUCGCUUUAUGGAAGUUUGGAUUCUUCAGGAGAAAAUCCAUGGAGGAGAUGAAAGAGGAGAUGAGGGAUGAUUGAGAGCCUCAGACCGACCCCACAUACACAGCAGAUCAUUCCACCCUCGAGCCUCCACGCUGUGCCAAGUAUCUGCUGUCCACCAGGGACCCCUGUGGUCCUCCUACGCCACCUGAACCCCACACGGAGCGGCCCUUAUUCCAACGCCAGAGUCUCACCUUCGGAGGGGAGCAUUCAGUAAUGCUCUCGCAGCACCAUGGACAAUGUAAUGUUCAAAUACUCAGCCAACUCAUAAAAGGGGACAAUGCCUGUUAUGGGACUUCAUGUUGGAACCCUGAAUCGGAGAUGUGGUCUGCAGGUCCCACUGUGUCUUUGUAUAUAUGCCAUGUGUUCCUGUCACUGUUUGACACGUUCGAUCAGAUUGUAAUAUGCGGAGUACAGUCUGAGGAGGCUUUCCCAACUUUUCACGAGCUUUUCACCGAACGAGUGCGAUUGUGCUUGUUGACCGCGUGAAAGCUACACUCUCACGUCCAAUGAUGCAAGGGCACACGAGCACACCUCACCAGCCCGCCCUGAGGUUCAUCAGGGCCCCUGAACUCUGCGUCUCCACGGCAGAGGACCAUCAUCCAUCAUACGGCAUCAAAGAACCUCAGGUUGUAACCCACGGCAGCACUGAUCUUUCCGCGUGACCCACGGCCACGUCCCUCUACACCAGACAACCUCCUGCGGGGGCCUGGCCCGGGUUCAAGGCCCACUGCAGACCUAGCUUCUUUUUUUUUCUUUUCUAACUUGAAACACUGUAUGUUGGUUCUGUGUCAAAUAUUGAACAUAGUUGUGCUCAUUUUUUUGGUGGCUGAGUCUGAGUUUUUCGGGGUUUUUUUUUUAGUCAUGCUUAUCCGUUUUUGGGCUCAUUCCCUCUCAGCUUUGAAGCUAAUGUUUUGGAUAAGACACUGAUCUGUUUCACAUGCAUUAUACCCUCAUCUGACUUUGAAAUUGAUUGUACUGUUAUUGUAAGUAUUUGUAAAGGUUAAACUGUACAUAGUCUGUGGGUUUUAUGUGCAAAGUGCAUCAUUUAAGAAGUUGAUUCUCAAAUGACUGAAAGACAGAAUUGGUAAUGACCCAUAACUUGCUACUCAGGUGAUGUAGUUAGUGCUAACUGUAAUGUGUCAGGUAAGCAUAUAAAUUGAGAAAUAGGUCUGCAAAAUAUGUAAAUACUGAAUUUAUGACUUACAUACGUACUGAAAUAUUGACCCAAUAAGCCCAUGUUUGUUUCCAUGUGAGACUUAUUAUUGUUGGUGAAAUGGACAGAUAUAUUUAUUCACCAAUAUUUUUAUUUUUGCUCUUUUUUUUUGCAUUUUUCCCCUUAAAUCGUCGGUGUUAAUUCUUCUUAAAGAUGAGAAACAUUGCUCAGAUAACCAGAUGACUGUCAAGUUGGCACUUCUGUGUGUAUUAAGUUUGCAGACAAUUAUCCAAAGUGACUUACAGUUCAGGUGUAUCAGUGCGUAUGCUUGGAUUCUCUCAGACUUCAACUUAUGACCUUGGUGUUCAUCUUUCACUUAUGGUAUCUCCAUAAUAACAUGUAGCAUGUUACCGUACCUGUUUCAAAAUCAGUCAACAAUAGGUUGAUUAUAGGUAUAUAAUAAGGUCAAAGGUCAAAAGUUGAUUGACAAUAGACCCAGACAGUACAGAACAAUGACAAUCAAACACAGCUAUUAUUCCUGCAUUUUUUGUCCACACUUUUUGAGUAAUUUGCACAGAAAAUCCUUAUUCGCCACUCAAUUGUAUUGUAUGUAAUUCUACAUCCAUGAUCAUUCACAUUUCACUGGUUUCAUCACACAAAGAGGUUUUUAAUAUGUAAACAAUGAUCUCGGGUCUCACUUGAGCUCCUUACCUUAAUAACUCACUGCUUUUUGUAACUACAAAAGAUUGUAGCCAUUAGUUCACAGUUGGAAAGUAGCCCAGCCUUAACAGUGUGCAAGUAGUCUGUUCAGCCUAACAGUACGCAUAAGUUUGUACUAAAUGUCUCAAUUUGUCAGUUGUUUGGUGCUAGUCCUUCCAAUUACCCUUUCAGCUACAAGACAACCAUAGAAACCAUUGCUGGUCUCUCUACGAACCCCUAGAAAAGCAUUGGCUAAUGUAUUAUGGACUUUGCAAUGCAUACUAGUCCAUUUCCUACAUUUUCCUAAAAUUGCGUACCCCAUUUGGCAAAAAAAAAAAAAAGAGAAACGUUGGUAUUUUGUAUUGUAUAUUCACAUUGUAUGUUUUCUAAGUUUGAUUACAUCUGAGCCAAAAAAACAUCAACCGUAGUAAAAGAUUUUCCAUGUUAAGUGUAUUCCAAUGUUGAGAGAAUAUUGCAGACACAAUGUAAAGUCAAACGUCUCCCUGUCAGACUUCAGACCUGCGCUCAGAGAGACUACAGAUAGGCAGCGAUGGGGGGGAUGUACCAGUCAUGGGCACUGCUGUGAAACUUCUAUGUAAUGCACUGGUUCAGCAUACUGUAUGUUUACUCCUCAGCACGGACCGAAGCAAAGAAAUAAAUGUCAUUGCACAUGCUUUGAAGAGAAUUAUGAAUGCAGAGAAAUAAAAAAUAUUUUUUUUUGUA
Molecule: long non-coding RNA, 2697 nt
Organism: Clupea harengus (Atlantic herring)
Lineage: Eukaryota; Metazoa; Chordata; Actinopteri; Clupeiformes; Clupeidae
Source: Ensembl